Molecule: long non-coding RNA, 1676 nt
Organism: Daktulosphaira vitifoliae (grape phylloxera)
Lineage: Eukaryota; Metazoa; Arthropoda; Insecta; Hemiptera; Phylloxeridae
Exons: 3
Source: RefSeq, a predicted model, not a curated record
GUUUUUUAAGCUUCACACUUGUGUUUCCGCUGGGAAUAAUCCACCUUUAUAGUUGUCUUCUAUUUUAUUUUCUGUCUACUAUUCCUCAGUUAGAUCUGAGAAACAAAUUUCUUUUACCACGAAAUACCCUUUGACAAUUGCGUAUACGGAAUAUAUUUGCAUACUCAAAACACAACGGACCCUUCGUCAGUGAUCGUUGUGAAACUGCUAGACUCUUGUGCAUGCCUCGUGAAGUUAAACGCUUUGCAAAAGAAACUUCACUCCUCUACUCCCGAAACAAUGAAAGAGAAACCCGUCGUCAGAAUAAAAAAUAGUCAAUAUAAAUAAAAAGCUGAAUAUAUCUUCAAGCUUUGAAUAUUAGCCAAAUAAGGAUAAAGUGUAAUUGUGUUAAUCCCAGUUUUAUUUUUUGUUUGUUUUGAAAUCACUAUACUUUGACAGUCUGCAAAAAUCCCAACAAAAAUGAGGGCUGAAAUCAAAAUGUACAAACAAAUAAUAAUUGUUGUUGCACAGAAGAAAAGAAAAACUUGACGGUCUGAUGACCCUUUUCAAAGGGUCUUUACGGGUCUGUCAGACCCGACAACCAAAUGGAAAAAUUCUCUCCGUUUCUUCAUUACGAUUUUACACCACAACAAAUAUUUAAAAAAGAAUCUCUUGGCCUUAGUUUUACAUUUUGCCGUACACUGUAUAUCAAUUUUGUUUGGGAUGUUAAUAUAAUACAACAUUGAAGUUAAUAUUUACCAAUCAAUGAAUUGAAAGCAAAACUGUGAGAAUAUAUAUGAUCCGGGUGCAAGGAAAACGGACAGACAAAAACAAAAGGAAUAUAUUGAUACCGGCGGAAUAGCAUUGCGAGAAGCCGCAGCCAAUCGGAUAAGAGAGGAGUAUUUUAACUAGGUUCGGUUAAGAAUUGACUAGGAUGGGUAUUAAGUCGAGUGCGGAAGAGCAAAGCAGUCUAUGUGUACAUAAAGUGACAUAAAAGAGUUGUAAAAGGAAGUUUACGGAUGGUGGUGGCAGUGCUUGGAAACGUUGAAUAAUGUAUCUGUCAGGCAACGAUGGUAAACAAUACGUUAUUGUGAGCGCUACACCACAUUCGCCCACAUAAAACAGAAGCUGGGUCAUUUUUUCCUACUCAGCCCAGCUUCGUUUUUUUUUAAUUUUUAUUGUUUGCUAUUAGUAAACACAUUUGUUUUAUUAUUUUAUAAUACUGUGACCGCGUGUUUUACUACAUAUAUAUUUAUAUUACUUUACUGUUAUUACCAUAUAAGCCCGGGAAACUAUCAGUCCGAGACGAAGGGUUCCACUUAUAUGUCAACAAUAUACAGAUAAUUAUAUUACAUAAAACAAACGAAUUGAAAAAGCAAAGCAUUAAUAAUUUAUUAUAAUACUGUACAUUAGAAUGAAGUUUUUACAAAGGUUUUUAUGGUAAUUAGAAGUAUUUCAAAAAAAAACCCCGUCUAUCGUUUGUUUAAUCUUGACUCCAUUCUUUCAGCAAAUAUAUUAAUCAUAAAUUCAUUCAUUUUUUUUUUUCACAAAUUAUUUUCUACUUAAAAUUUUUCCAUUUUAUGUUGUAUCAUCACCUUAGAGAUAUGUGACAUUGUUUAUUAAAUUUUCUUUCUAUUUCAAAUAAUAAAAUCAUUUCUAAAUAUAAAACAAAAAAAAUCCUUCUUAUUUAUUAUGUA